ACGUCAAAUCAGCACGGCCCUUACGUCCGGGGCUACACACGUGCUACAAUGGGGGGUACAGAGAGUCGGCUGCCCGCAAGGUCAGUCCAAUCAUGAAAGCCUCCCUCAGUUCGGACUGGGGUCUGCAACCCGACCCCACGAAGCUGGAUUCGCUAGUAAUCGCGCAUCAGCCAUGGCGCGGUGAAUACGUUCCCGGGCCUUGUACACACCGCCCGUCAAGCCAUGAAAGCCGGGGGUGCCUGAAGUCCGUGACCGCGAGGGUCGGCCUAGGGCAAAACUGGUAAUUGGGGCUAAGUCGUAACAAGGUAGCCGUA
RNAcentral lists this ribosomal RNA (314 nucleotides) under uncultured bacterium. RNAcentral's name for it is "bacterial SSU rRNA". It matches the Rfam family "Bacterial small subunit ribosomal RNA", at positions 1182 to 1504 of the family's 1533-position model. The record is from RNAcentral.